Molecule: ribosomal RNA, 374 nt
Filed under: uncultured organism
Description: partial 16S ribosomal RNA
Rfam family: Bacterial small subunit ribosomal RNA
Source: RNAcentral
GUAGGUGGCAAGCGUUGUCCGGAAUUAUUGGGCGUAAAGCGCGCGCAGGCGGUUCUUUAAGUCUGAUGUGAAAGCCCACGGCUCAACCGUGGAGGGUCAUUGGAAACUGGAGAACUUGAGUACAGAAGAGGAAAGCGGAAUUCCACGUGUAGCGGUGAAAUGCGUAGAGAUGUGGAGGAACACCAGUGGCGAAGGCGGCUUUCUGGUCUGUAACUGACGCUGAGGCGCGAAAGCGUGGGGAGCAAACAGGGAUUAGAUACCCUGGUAGUCCACGCCGUAAACGAUGAGUGCUAAGUGUUAGGGGGGUUUCCGCCCCCUUAGUGCUGCAGCUAACGCAUUAAGAACUCCGCCUGGGGAGUACGGCCGCAAGGCUG